UUGUUACCAGAGGAAAAGAGCUUCUACCAGGGAACACAGCAAGAAUCCCAUUAAAGCUCAAGAUUUGACAAUUGUUCAGUCCCUUUAAUCUUCUUGUGCCAUGAGAGUAGCAUGCAAGGAAAGAAGUCAUCAACUUGGAAAAUGAUUGUGACUGUCUAGAGGAGCAGAAAUGAGGACAGGAAGGCUGCCCUUCUGAACCUCCUCUCUGUCAAAGGACUUCUAGGGAUUUCCAGCAUGUGGAGGAAGAUCAGAAAGUCUCCACGGAACUUCUGCCAAGCUGCUGGAGUCACAGACUCUUCCCACACUCCCCCUGGGCCUCGUCAGUUCUUAUCAAGGAUGCAGGGGCGGCGGCGGCAGCCUUUCCACUUCAGAAAAGGAAGCCAGUGAAGCACGGGGGAAAGAAACCUAACACUGGAAAGCAAGGGCUCCUAUCAAAUGUCAGUUGUUCUGUCUCUGACCAUCCAAGAGGCUAAGGACUGAAGCCUCUUGUGGCUAAGGGUGGCUUCUGACAUGCGCAUCACUGUUUCCCCAAUGCCUGGUGUAUAGAAGCUAAUCAAUAAAAAAUCACUGAUGGAGUAUUCCAGUGACCAGUCCAAAAGGUGAGGGUAGUAACCCUUUGGAGGACUAUGGAGCAGAAACCAAUCACCACAGAAAUGGGGAUGAGGAAUCUGAUAUGUUUGAGGUGUUUCUAUAGCAGAAGAACUUGACCAGUAAUGGAUGCACCUACUCUGCCAACCUAAAACAGCAUCCCUCAUCAUGAGUGCAUCUGAGGAUCAGACAGAAAGCUCUGUUGGUAAAAUGAACAUUUAUACAAAUAUUGAUGGGCCAUGAAGAUAACACCAAUCCAAGGAAAAAAAAUACUGCCAAAUGGUAAGUAAUAUGGUAUUUACAAAGUGUGGAUUGUCUAUAGACCAUGAAAAUCAGAACAUAUUUUUAAAAUGAGCAAAACAGGAAACUAAAGAUGAAAGUGCUUAUUCAUUAAAUCUUGUUUCUGAGUUCAGCUACAAAGUUCAUUGCAAAGCCAGUAUCCUUGCCUCCAAAUACGAUUCAGAAUGCCCAUGUUUUAAAGAGCUCUGAGAUUUGCUCUGAGUAAAUCCUUAGACACUGCUUCAGUUUAUCCAGUCUGGGUUUCUGUAUCUGCCUCUAAGAACUGUUAGGAAAAAAUAGACCUAUGAGACAAAGACUUUUCAGCUUCUCCCAUCUCAUCUUGAUCUCCAGUUUGCCGUUUGUACUGAUACCACCUGUGUUGUUCACGGAAUUCGCCUUCUUCUGGAAUGACAAAUGUCUCAAACCUACAUAACUGGACAACAAAAGGCUUAAUCCUCUCUUCUUUUCAAAUAGCAUUUGGACUUCAUCUUCUUUUUCAGCUAUGGCUCAGUUAUCGACUGGGCUGUUGCAGCUUCCCCAGACAACUUUUAUUUUGUGAGUGGGAGGCUUAGAUAACCGGGAAUACUUAAUUAAAUGCAAUAUAUUUUCCCAAUGAAUCCUCUAUGGGGCAUUCAAUUUUUAAUAGCAUCUUAAGCUUAACUCUGGGACAACUGGUCGUGUAUUUACUAACAGGCAGAUUC
Long non-coding RNA from Vicugna pacos (alpaca), 1568 nucleotides. RefSeq lists it as uncharacterized. The record is from RefSeq and is a predicted model, not a curated record. NCBI's taxonomy places the organism in Eukaryota, Metazoa, Chordata, Mammalia, Artiodactyla, Camelidae.